CAGGAAACUCUCUGGAAAAGCACACCCUAUAAAUGGGGUAGGAUAGGCUUGUUAUUAAACCCUUCCAAUCAGUGCCUACCUAAAAAAGGCAGGAGAAAUCUCUCCAUAAAUGGGGACUUUUUCUUAAUAGGGGCUGUAAUCCUGACCUUUCCUACAAGAUCUUAGGGGUCUUGAAACAUUUUUCCAGUGAAGAUCGAAUUAUACACCUUAAUCAGACACAUGAACUGGAGGCUGGAGAGACUGAGGGGAUGGUCUUGUCUCACAGAUUUCUGAUGCAGUACCUGAAUCCCAUUCUGUAGGUGGAGGACCUUGGUGCUUUACCUGAUCCUUCGAGCACUGGAUUUGGAUCAGGCCCCACUUCUCUGCUUCUCUGCAUUGCAGUGCCAUUUAAUGCUUUACACUGGAAGCUUCCUCCACCAAAAUCCAACCAGAAGUGUUACAGUGACUGAGAGAAAAUGGAUGGAAGAGGGAAAGUGUGAGGCAGCAAGGGUCACCAGGCAUCUCAUUUUCCCAAUAUGUCCACUCUUUUCUUUUCAAAGCACAUGUUGAGUGAGGCUGAGGAAGCAAUUGGCAGCACAUUCACAGCAUCUUGGUCCUCUGUGUAUGUGUCUCCUGCAAGGAUCUCAGUCUGGUGUGUGUACUGAAAUUGUGUCAAGAGCUACACAGUUACUGCCUGGGGAUUGUGUGCCUGGUCUGCCGGAAGAUUUCAUUUCAAGAGCUCUUGGGCACCUAGGAUCAGCUGUAAGGAAGGGGAUGAAAUGCUUGGUGGUCAGGCUUAGCCCUGCAGGGCAUCUCUCUGGACAUGAGAGUGCAGAGAGCAGCAGUGCUCCUGCUUCCUCUGGUCCUUUCCUGCUCCAAGGCCAGUGCACGCCCCCAGUGCCCACAAGAGCUGAGAUUCACAUGGUGGUGUCUGAAACAUGUUUCCUCUUGUGAAAGGCUGACAAGUGUACAUGAAAGCAUUUCAUCAAGUUAUCAAAUAACAUUUUGUUCUUGUCUCCAUAUGAUGAGCAUAGUUUGGCAGUCCAGGCUCUUACAUAUGUAAUAUAGAUUAUAGAUGCAGGAGCUCUCAAUGCAUUGUUUUUCUUGCAUUAACCUUUUCUGUUUCCCCUUGUGCCCGUGUGAACUUCUGUCAUUCAUGUCCUGUGGUAAGUAGCUGAGUUUAGCUAAGCUGUGUUAAAAAGAACGUAUGCUUUGGGUCGGUUUGAACCUGUCAUCUAGCUUUGCCUGCUGUCCCACAUCCCAAAAUAUCCACACAGUCAACACCAGGCCCCUGGUAACCAGAGAGGUACUGACAAAUCUGGGAAGUUUUCGGAAGAAAGUGACAGAAUUCUUCAGGAGAGGUGGAAGCACAGGUAGACGAGUUCAAAUAUAAACUGAUGCAGAGCCCAGCUCGGGAAUGACUAACAAAUGUGUGGUUUGUGAGACAUGCAGAGCUCUGAUGAGCACGAACAACCUCCCACUCUCCUGAGCAUGAGAGCAGAAUUCUUGGUGUGACACGCAGGGAUAUAACAAGGGCUAAUAGUGUGACAGGCAGACUGAAAGUAAGGUAAAAUUUCCUGACAGUGAGAUGUAUUUUGCUGUGAAACAGCCUCCCAAGGGAAAGGCAGGAGCCCAACUGCUUUGUCUUUUUUAAAGCCAAACUGGACAAAGCAUUAGGAAAGGUAAUUCACGGAGCAAGUGUAAAAUAGCUGGAGUGGCGAACUAAUAGAUCCUUUCCAUUUCUAGCUCCUAGGAUAUAGUGCUAUCUGUAAUGAAUUUUUGACUGGUUUUUAGCUUAGGGAGUAACAGGGAGAUAACACUGAGCAAAAAUAUUAACAAUAAGAACUAAAAGAAACAAAUUGUAGAGUUUGUCUGAUAGUCACGGAAAGUGCCAGAUUGAGAGUUCCUUAGGUUAAUGGCACUAUUCAAAAAUAGCUUUGCAAAUGGGAAAGUGAAAAUUGUUACAUAGGUAAUUAUUGUGGUAAUGACAUAUUUUUAAAGAGUCCUAGUAGUCCCAAGUAUCCAAGAGCACAUCUCAGAUUUGGGGGUGUUCCCAUUCAUGUAAUGUGGAAUUGCUGUAGCUGAUACUGAAAUGCAGCAACCACUGCACUGAAACAACCAGUUUCAAUGGCAGCAGUUCAAGAUGGGGUAUAAAGUACAACUUCUGUAAAUGAAACUGUAGAAGAAUUGUCUUGGUUUGGCAGAAUUUCAUUAACUGAUUAAUUAUCUAGGCAGGAGUUUCUUUUGCAACUGCCUUUCCCCAUGUCUUUGCUUUUAAAGCAGCAGGAUCUGGCAAUAUUGACCAGGCUUCCCUGGUUCCUUUGGGCGGGCAGGGGGAAGUCUGCCAAACUAGCAUGACCCUGAGCUGAGACACGCUGGACUGGCCUCCCUAUGCAGUUUUUAUCUCCCUCUUGAGUGUCCUGACUUCAGCUUCUAAACUCCCAGAGAACAAGGGAAAUCUAGUUUCUUUUAGCAAAGACAAAAAGGGAGCCCUUUUGGAAAAAUAGGAAAAUGCAAAAUAGUAUGGAACCAGAAUAGGCAGAUUGGAAAAGCUGAAUAAUAUAUUAUUAACUGGUUUUAAUAUUGUAAUUUUAAACUGAAGUGUGUGGGUUGUCAUUCACAUAGGGAGCAACUAUUUUUUCUUUUUUUUUUUUUUUUUUAAUAAGCAAUCAGAAAUCUGAAAGAUAGUGGCCAAAAUACAGAUGUCCUGCAUUGUUUGUUGUUCAUGAAAUUAGACUUUCUUAGACAACAGCCUUGAGGAGUCAGUUGAAAGAGGAAGGAAAUGAGCCAGGCAAGAACUUGCAUGUUGAACAUGUCAUCCUUCUGGAGCCACAUGCUCACCAUGGAACUGACUCACAUGGCAUUAAAAAUUGUUUGUUCUCAUUUACAUGAUCUGCAAGACUGUGUUUAAUGUAGUAUGUGUUAGCUGUACAAUUAAUCAAAUGCUAUCCAUUUGUUAAUGAAAGGGGAAAACAUUCCUGUAUAAAAUGCCAUUGACUACUGAGUAGCUUGGGUACUGAACAGUUUGUCUACCUCUAUAUUUUAUACAAAUUUAGCAAUAUUUAAGAUUUUUUUCAACAGUCACUACAGGUUUAAUUCUUUUGUCUGUUAGCUAUUCAUGCAAAACUCAGUACAAAAUUCCUUUUUAUGUUUGUAUUAUUCAUGGGGGUUGUUUGGAGCUAGAGUUCUCACUUUAUCCAUCAGAAAUUUCAGUGUUUCAUCAAAAAAAAACCAUAACUUCUGGCCUGAGAUAAAAUCCUGCCACUCUCCUGCUUCCAAAACAACAGAGCCAAAAAAAAUAUUUAUUUAUGAACAACUGAUGUGACAGUCUUCAGCUUACAGCUACUGUAAAACUUCGUGAUCUGGGUUUCCCAGGGCUUGCCGGUUCUUAGUGUUAUGGCAGCUGAAAAAAUUAUAACACCAGCAGCUUCCACCAUUUGAGCUGCCAAAAUUGCAACAUUCCUCUGAAGUGGCUUUUUUUUUCCCUGAACGUUCUUAUGUAAAUUUUUUCUCUCUAAAACCUUUCAACUAUUCCCAGGUCUUAGACUGUAAGUCAGUAUUUGACUUUCAGUAGGACAUUUGUUUCUCAACUUCUUUAUUUCAUGAAAGAAUGACUUCUAUUCCUUUUUCAUUAAGGCACCUUAGAAAUCCUACCUUUCUUAGUGAUGCCACAGAAAAUCUCUCAAAGCGUGGGUGGUUCAGCUGCUGUUACCUGAUGCAACCCUCAGUCUGGGUGCACUGUCUUGCUUUAGGGAAAGGAUGGCUCCUGGCAAGAGGCUGUGGAUCCCAUCCCUCUGUUUGCUUGUUGGCUGCUGGUAUGAGGAGGCUGGAAAAGGAUGGAAAGGGAUGUGAUGCAAGGCAUCUCUCAGAAAAGCUGUGGCAUGAAUGAAUCAGAGAACAUUGCUUCCUACUUAAGUGCUAAAUUCCUAUUAGAUACAGGAGGAAUGUAAUUCCAAAAUCCAGGCACAGAACAGAUGUUAAUUGGUCAGGAAAGUAUAAGUACCAUAAAUAAUUGUGUGAUUGACUGAAAGGGGAGCUGGGAAUCUCCUUUUUAUUCCCUGCAGGGGCACUGACCAGAGAGACCAUGAAGAACUCACAUCCCCUCAGUUCUCCAGCCUGUAAAGUGGGAAUGAUAAUGCCAGCUUUCCUUUGCCAUGUGCUUUGAGACUUCCAGAGGUAACACUGCACAGUCCACUGCAUUAAUGUGGGUAUUUAACAAUGUUUGAGCUGACAUCAGGGCACACCCCAGGCGUGCAGGGACCACCCAGGGUAGCUGAUGUGGCACAGUGAGAAGGGCCACUCCAAAACCAUCCCCGAACUCCAGCUGGUUGCCAUGGUGGCAGGACCGCUGAGUGCGGCAAGGCAAGGGGAGAGUGAUAAAUGCUGCUCAGGAUAACUUACAGCAUCAAGGCUGCACUUGGAAAUAGCUCUGGUUUUGUGGGUCUGGGCUUGCAGGAGACAUUGCUGAGCUUUGGGAUUUCCUCUUCUCCAGCUCACCUACAGUGAACAAUAUGAGCCAAAAAGUAGAGAACUGUCACCUUGUUCUUCUAAGUUCUUCUGAGCCUUCUGAUGUUUACAUUUUUGUAAUGGAGUUUCUCACACACUUUUAUGUAAAUAAUGAUUGGUUUGCAUUCCUUUCUAGAAGAUGAGAAAUUUGAUGGACUGUUGGUUUAACCAGUGUAGCUGGAGAGGUGGUAAGUUCAUCCUCCAAUCCAUGGUCACUUUUGGAAGUCUAUAAAUAUUAAAGUCAGACAUAAACUUCACUUUGUUACCUUAGACAUUUCAGCAUGUGCGUGUUGUUCAUUUCUUGUCCUAUUGUGACAGAGAAUCACUGUGGAGAGAGAGAUUCAGACUUUCCCUUGGCCUUUUGGUGAUGGAGUGGGUGGGAGAGGAAUCUGCAUCUCUGAAGCCCUUCUGCAAGGACUUGGUGUUGAAAGCUGGUGAAUACCAUCUGCUGGCCUGCUUUCUACUCAUCGUUUCAUACGUGCUGCUGCCUGGUACUCCUUUAGUCCCUGGGUCAGUGACAUUCCUAGCACAAGGACUUUUCCUCCAGCCAGCCCCAGAGGCACCAGUCCCCCUCAGAGCCUAGAGCAGGAUCAAGAAGGAUGCCCUCCUCAUUCAGGUUGUGUGACUGGGAUCUUGAGAGCACUGAAUGGUCUGCGGGCAGGGAGAGAGCUGGUGGGAGGCAGAUGCUAAAAAUUGCCUCAAGAGAAAUUGGAAGGUGUCAGAAAGGUCAUUUUGGAAAUGGGGAAAGGACCGAGGGGUUAGAGGGUGGCAUGUUAAGUGACAUGAACUUCCUUGCUCUCUGCUGCUAAUAUUUUAGAGUUUGGAGGAAAAACUGGCAAGAACUUUUCUGCUGAUGAAGCAACAUACAAAUGGACAUAGUUGCAAGUUAGGGAUCAUAGAUUUUACAAAGGAAAUAAUGAAAAGUGCCUUGUGAGCCACAUGUACUGGUGAAAAUUUGACUGAGUUUCUGAAGAUGAGAGGAAGCAGACAGGGGCCUAGGAAAUAUCUUUAAAAGCUAGGGAAAGCAUAGGGAAACUGGUUUUAAGAAAAACAAGAUAAAAUGGCAAUUGCAUCUAAGCCCACGCAGGCACUUACUCUCUUGCUUUCUCUCUUACACCCACACACUCAAGCACAUCUUUCUGUCCGAAAUAGUAGAGAAAAGAUAUCAUAGCCUUUAUUGUCAAGAGUAAUUUCUCUUCUCAUGUUACUAACAACAAAUUCUCAGAGCAAGGAGAUAGAUACUUCACAAAACUCCUCUGCCUGCUCUUUUCCCCUUUCUAAACCUGAAAAAAACAAGGAAGAAAGCCCCUGUGAGCUGUGGAGUUGAGGAGCUACAUGUUGACAGCUCUUGGAUGGCUGAAGGCCAAGCACAAGUAUUUGUGUGCCAGUAGCACCACGGGAGGCAGCCGGGUGAUUGCGUGGGGAACUCGGGCUCGCUUUUCCUCACAGGAAUGGCUUUGCUUUCGGGGCUGUCAGGGAACAUGGCUGCAUGAGCUUUCACUCCCAAAAUGCUUGGCAAACUGGGGGGUUUCCCACACGUCAUGUCCAGCGUUGCUGAAAAAUCACCAGCUGGCUGCUCAGGAGUAGGGCGCUCCUCAAGAGGAUGCCUUUUGGUUGCACAGGGGUUUUACACAGCAGGAUGAAGAUGGGUGGCUGCCAGCUGGGGUUAAACUCGUGCCACCCCUCUAGGCAGCUCAGAAGGGCUGAGCUCUGGAUGUCUCUGGAGAGACAGGGCCAUCGUGUGCUCAGACAAGGUCAGCAUCAUCUCCCUGGGUUACAGGAACAAAAGCUUGAGCCCACCCUAAGCAUGCUCGGACUCUCCCUUUCCAGGGAUGAUCUUUUAACAGGGAUUCACACAUAGGAGACACUUGGAGAUUCACUCAGAGGACUGAAAGCAAUUUGGAUCUUUGUCCUGUAUUUAACUGACACUGUAAACUUCCCUUCUGAGUAUUGGCAUAGGCCCUCUUGGCUUAGACUGGUGUUUGCCUGACUCCAUGAGACUCUCCAUCCCAGCACACAUUGAGUGAAAGACUCCACCAGCUCAUUUACAAAUUAGGCAUGUUCAUAAGAGUCAUGUCGCAGAGAGGAAAAAAAUCCCUGGGCUGAUGUGGAUUCCUCUAUUCUAUACAUUCAUUCAUGGUUGAUGGUUGGGAAAUUAUAGUAUGAGAGGGAAGAUUAUUAUAGUUCCUGACAAGGAAUAGAAUUUGUAAAAGCAGAUUUAAUUUUUAAAAUAAUUUUUAAAGCUUUUUUCAAAAUUGUAUUGUUGUAUUUUAUUUUAUUUUGCAAAAAGUAAAUAAUAAUACCCAAGAAUCCCUCAAUCCUCUUGCAAUGUUCUCUUCUUGCUACAUGAAACUGCCAAAUCUGAAUUGGAAAUACGCAAACAAAAUGUAGGGCUUUUUUAUGAUGCUUGGAAGAAAAUGGAUUUGCAGAGCUUCUCUCUUUAAAUGUGUCAACAUAAAUGACAUCCUAGCAGGUCUUGCAGAUUGCAUGGCAUAGGCAAAUAACUGCUAUUUAUUGCAUGGGCUGUGCAAUUUUUUACCUAGCUAUUUCUGCCACAUGCAGAAUAGAUGAAACAAAUUUUCCUCGCACAUUUAUAUAUACAUUUAUACAUUUAUAUAGUGCCUGUCAAGAGUUGCAUACCGUGGUCUCCACUAAUGCUUAUUUGUGCCAUGAUUCCUUAUCCAGGAUUUAACCCCUCCCAGAGGAAAACUACAUCCCAUCUGUGAUACCUAUUACAAAACAAGCCAGAUUCUGUGCAGUGUUCUGUCAAACAGGUUACAAACGGCAUUUUCCUUCCCUUUGGCCUCCCAAGUCUCCUCUGGAAAGGCAAUCUAAGGCAAGUCUAUCACAGAGUUACACGAGAGACACCUUGCAAUUGACUCUUUCAGGUCUCACAGUCUUUCACAUCCAGCUUGUUUCAAAGGGAUGGCAACAUAAAAGAGAAAAGCAUUUAAAAAGAGAAGAAAAAUAAGUCAAGGGAGGCUCAACAAGGAAAAUCCAGUUCCUUCUGCAUGGAUAUUGGUAAAAACAAUUUAUGUAAGCACAUCACAGUUAAUUUGUUUGAGGCUUUUCAUAUUAAGGAAAAAAAAUUAAACUAUUUCUCUAUCACUUCCUUCUUGCUAUGUGUAUUUCCAAGCUGUUUGCCCCACUGGCUUUGGAUGUUCUCUGCUAAUAUGUUAGUUACCAAAUGUAUUAUGCUCCAACAGUUCCUCUGGAUGGGAAUUUCACUUCUGUUCCUCACAACUGUCAUCGGAGGGGCAACGCAUGUGUCUGAAGGUACCCCUGGAAUCUGCUGAAUCAGACUCCAAGUUUCCUGCUGCAGCAACAUUUCACAAUUCUCCUCUCCCUUGAUGACCUAAAUAUCUCAGUUUUCCGAAACACACAAAUUAGAUCUGUGGUGCAAACAUUGCGCCUGCGUGUGUCUGUGCGGGAUUUGCUCAGGCAGAGCUUUCACCGCUCGCUUAUUUCUCAGAGUAAGAAAAAUAAAGGUCUUUGUACUUAGCCUACGAUGACAGUUUUGCAGCAGGAGAACACUGAACAAGAAAAAUGAAGACUGCAGAAGUGGAAGGAGGAAAUGAAAGUUGCUCUGCCGACAGGGCGACAUGAAUUCAGCAAUGGGUGGAUUAGUCUGAGUGUUAUCAGUGAUGAUGAAACACAGCAGACUGUGGUAAUGAAAUAUUUAUGAAUGGGGAAAUGAUACUGCAUUCUGCAGUGCAGCACAGGGGAAAGUGAAAUUUCAAGAAUACUGUAAUAGCAAAGCCCUCCAUUAAUUAUCGAAAGCAAGCUGUAAUGCCAGUUACUAUGACAACAGGGUCCCCUAUGUAUUUUGUACUAUUGGGCAGGCGGGAGGGGAGAGGUGGGAGAAAGAGGGGGCUGCUCCUAUUUACUGGAGUGCAUUGUAUUUCUUUUUCUGUUGUUGUUGUUGUUAAUUAGGACUAGCCCAGCCUGUGACUGUGCAGUUAAUUUCAAUGAUAAAAUGAUAAAGUGACUACUUUCUAAAAUACAGGGAAAGUCUUUAAUAAGUGGUACUGGUCUUUUUACUCUUUCCAUAUUAAGGGACAUACUAUCAGAAUUAUUAAUAUCCUUAUAUAAUAUUAAUGCAUGGUAAUGUAAUAAUAAAAAGCUAAAUGAUACUAGAAGUAUGAUUAUUAAUAAUAAUUUUGACUGUGUUAGGCUUGCACUCACAGAGCAUUUUAGAAGCAGUGAUUAAUUAAAGUGUCAAUAUUGGCAUACUAAAUCCACCACUGCAUUUCCAGAUGGGGCAAGGGAAUGUGUGACCUCUGCCCACUUAUUUUUAAUUACUACUUAUUUGAUUUCUUAAACCCAUGACUGUCUUUGAGAUUUCCACUUAUCCUCAGCACAGACAAGGGUUUUUCCUUCCCUUACCUCUACUGGAUAGGAGGAAAGCAAGUUAUAGCCCAUGAUGAGGUCCCUGUCAACAUGCCCCAUCAGAGCAGCACAUUUGUGAAAAAUGUAACUAUAAACACUUACUAAAUGGAAUAGGCAUGCUCUGAUGACUGUGGGUGCUGGGAAUGGAUUGGGACAAUGGGCCACGGAUGGUGGCCAGUCUGGCUGGCUCUCACUAGGCAUCACUUGCUGCUGUGGCUGUAAGAGGCAGAACAUUCCUGCAUGGAGCAUUGCUCCGGGUCAGUCAGGCAUUGCUUACAUUUUUGUCCUCUCGUUUUAGUCUUUGCAGUGCAUUUCAUCAGUGUUAUCUAAGGGCUCUACAGAUAAUCUUAGUUUAGCCCCCUUCCAGUGGGCAAAGAGUGCUUCAGGUCCAUUAAAUUCUUGGUCCAAAGUGAUUCAGGUUUCAGCUUCAGGACCUUCCACAGCAUGGAAGGAACUCCUGAUAUUCAGCUCUUCUAGGAGGGAAAGCGUUGCAAAGGCGGGAAGGGAAAAUGGUUGGAAACUUGCAGCAUGAGUGCUGUCUUGCAAGUAGCUAGGUGCAGUACUUCCUGGUGCACAUUUCCUGGUGCACAUUUCCUGGUGCACAUUUCCUAAUCUUACACGAUGAAACAAGCUGGAGGCAGGCGUCUUAGCCCUGUGCACCUGAUUGGGCACAAACGUGACUGAAUGAACAGCAAGUCAAACGUGGUUGCAGCAAGAGGAUUUCUGCAUCACCACUUAAUAUAGGAAGUGCCAUGGAGGUUGUGUUUUUUUUAUAUGUGGGUGUAUGCACAUGCAUAUGUGUGUAUAUGCACUCAUGCAUCCAUAAACAUAGGUUUUAUACUCAUAGAAUGCAACGGACUGUGCACUGCGUGAAAUACUGGCUCAGAGAGGAAGGACUUUGCCUGAUUUUGCUCAUGUUUAGCUUGCUAUAUGAAUAUGGAGGAGAAAUCCAUUUAUUAUUUGUUUAUUGCUGCAAACAUUCCCAUCUUGCCCUCCUUGCGGUUCAGAGCCCUCAGCUCCUCUUUGCUUGGGUGCUUUAUUGCCAUCCUGAUUUCUGCUUGCAGCAAUCACCUGCCUUGAUAUGGCUCAAGACAUGAGCUGGAAAUACUCCAUGCCCUUUAGUAGCCUGUAUUCCCUUUUUUUUAAAAAAAAAACCCAAACCCACAAACCAAAACACAGCACUAUGAGAGUGAUGUGCACACUGUGAGCCAUAAACAAUGGAGUAACAUAAUCCAGGCAAUGAACGGCCUCGGGAAGCCAGCAGGGACAGCGAGGGCUCCGUUUUCACUGUGAUGAGAACUGCCCCAGAGGACCAAUACGGAUGUGAGCUUUCCUCUCCUUGGCUCCAAGGCUAGAGGAAUCCAAUAAAUUGCUCAGACUACAACUCACUUACUUACAAACGGUGUGGGGAAGGACAAGCCUGUUAGGUGUGGGAAAGGAAAGCAGGUUGUAUUGGUUUAACAGUUUCAGAAACUUGACAGAUAGGAAAAGGUUCUGGUAACUCAUUGCUUAGUGUGGAAAAGGCAACAAGUAGCCGUGGGCAUGGGAAAUGUAAUAAUAUUCCUCAAACACAAUAUCUGCCAGAGACAGGUCUGAUGUAUUAAUCCUGCCCCAGAAUGCAGGAAUGGCUGGGCAUUCCCCGUAGCUCUCCCCAUAUCACGAGCUCUGAGUUUAGAUGCAGUGCGAAAGGAUGGCUGCUGGAAAGGGACAUGGAUGGGCUUCAGAGUCACCCAGUGUCAGCAUUCAGAGCCAUGUCUUUUGGAAUAGAGGGUGGGGAGGGCCUUGCAUGGAGGUCUUUUGGGGAGGGCCUUGCAUGCUGCAGGAAAAUCAUUAGUCCCAGGACUAAUUUUACUGUAGAGGAAAUAAUGGCACAAAUUAUUCCUGCUGCAACCUAGAGGGCACUACCUUCAUCUUUGUGCAUUUGAUGACGUCUGUGGGCCCACAGUGGAGAAAGGCUGAACUGAGAUGUUUCCUUUUCCUCUUCUAAAUGGUUUUUGGUUGUCAGUCUUGAGAGUGUUCACAUGCAUGUGUGUGUAAACUUUAGUUCAUUAGUUGUCACACGUAACUCAGGCUAUCAGGUCAUCAGGGGGUUUGCAAAUGUAAUCUGGUGGCCACAUAAACUCUGUCUUCUCUGGGAUGGAAGGUAUCAGCAGAUUAGUACAUCUCUGUGUGGAAAAGACAAAUUCUGUCCCUAAGAUGCAUCAGCCAUCUGAGGUAAACCUUGCCUGACCCUUUGGGUUUGGUAUCCAGCUGCUGCCAGCUACAGUAUAAAUUACCCCAUCUACACAAGGAUUAACCCACGAGCCAAUCUGUGUCAAAAGCCAUCCUUGUUGUCUCAAAGAGGACAGAGUUGAAAGCUGCCAUGCUACAAAGAUUUGCACUAAACCUUGAGGUCAGGCUAAAAUAAAUGUCAAAUGUCUAUAACACAAACAUUUAGAAAGAGCACAGACCAGUGUUUAUGGACAUUUUAUCCUGUUGAAGUGAGAGCCCUGUCACCAAGCUUGGAAAGCAGCCCCAGAACAGCACUAGGAAAAGCAGGAUAUGAGCCUCAGCAAGGGAAGGAGCUGUGCCUGCGCCUGCCCAGUGUGUAGGAGGAGGGAGGGAAAUCAGAAGGGGGAUUAGUUUCUGGUUUCUUCUGCUUCUGACAGCCCCUAAGGUGCUAGGGGGAAAAAAAAAAAAUCUUUGCAUUAUAUAUGUUUGCAUCACUCCAUAAAUAAUGAACAUCAGCAGUCAGAUGGAGCAGGGGCUUCUCUCAGAGGUGUGAAAGCCAUAAGGGAGGAAUCCCGGAGUGGGAUGCCCUGAGUUGCCUGGGUGGCCUCUCUCCCCCAGACGCCAGGUCCUGGUUGCAAUUCAGCACACGCAGGGCCCAGCCCUGCAGCAGGAGCCUGGUUUGUACUGAGGCAGCCAGGGGAGAAACCCCCUCCAUCACCUGACAGGUUUUAUGUUCCAGCUUUGGCUGUUUAUUCUUUCUAGUGCUAUUCUGUUUGGUCACUGCAGGGACUGCUAAGAGACACAGGGGAACAGAGAGCGCUUAGUCAAGGGCAGAAAUAUUUGGAUGCAGUCAACAAUAAAAGGAAUCCCUGAAAAUUAUAGACAUUUUCCAGAGCAGCGAUUUUCUCUGUCUGCAAUGUUUCAUUUGCUCCAUUCUGAAUUACCCUGAAGUGCAAUUAAAAUACUUUAAUGUUUGAAAUCUGGAAAUCCUCAGUCCCACAGUCUUAAUAUCAUUCCUGGCUGUGAAGGAGGAGGGGAGGAGGGAAGGAUUUAUUCUCACCAGGCUGCAGGGGGAUUUACACUAACGGUUUACAUCCACUUCAUUGCAAAUCCUUUCUGAUAAAUCCUUCCCACUCAGUGCCUGUGGGUGAGGAGAGGGCAGAGGUGCUGGUGGAACCGGCAUUUCCCCUGCCUCCAAAUGAGCAGGGCAGCUGUGGCACCCUCCCUCCACAGCUCCAGGCCCACCAGGCACUCUGUGCCCUGCUUUCAGCAAACCUGGAAUAAUUUUAUAUCAACUCCUGUGGGAGGAGGUAUAAAGCUAAGGCUGCAGUUCUGCCUCUGAAAGUUCUUUUUUUUUCCUUCUUCCAUAAGCAGGUAAGACCUGACAUCUGAAUGCAGAUUGAGGAUGGAGCCAAGGCAUGGGUUUUGGUGUAGUUCCACAAGUGACAACCAGAGGCAAUAUAUCAAAGUGCUGUACUUCUCUGUCAAAAAAUACUGUAAAGCUACAAUGCAUAAGGUGGCUUUGACCAUGAAGGAAGGAAGGAAGUAAGGAAGGAAAGCCAGUUUGUUUUUCCUGUGGCUCAUCCCUGGCCCUCUUGGACUUUAGCUGCUCCCUACAGCUGCCCGUGGAGUGUGUGCUUGUGGGUGAGCACUACAGAGAGAGAAGCACUUGCUAAGCUGAGAGGACUCGGCAUUGCUAAGCAAACAUUUAGAUGAGUGAUAUCAGACUGUUCUUAAAGAGCAUGUCCUUAAUUUAAGACUCAGCAUCCAGGCUGAGCCAAUUCACAUGUGCUGGGAGAAGUCUGCUUGGAUGAGUGAUGGGAGCUGCUGGUACCUGGAGCGUAGCCUGCCAAGUGAGAGAGGCUACAAGUCAUCAUCUGAGUACUUUGGAGCAAUGUCCUUUAUGAUCCUCUGAUUCAUGUGCAAGGAGCAUCACAUAACUCAGGGACACUUACAAAGCCCAGUGGUGCCAUCCUUCAAAGUUUCACUACAGCAACUUCAGGACUGACUCCAGGCAACUCUAGGCAACUCUCUAACUCAGGGCCCAGCUGAACAAGGCCUCGGCUCCCUGCACUUCUGUUUAGCCAACACACUUACUGCUGCAAGACAAGGAGGAGCUGAGGAGCAGUUUUCCUGCCGAGGAAAAUUCAUGGCACAGAAGUGUAAUCAACACUGAGCAGCAAAGAAGAGGGAAGAAGAAGAAACCUACAUUUGAUGGGUUUGCCUCUAAAGCUAGUCACAGUUUUCUACUGUUGCUGCCAGUUUUUCCUGGUGUGUCUGCCAAAGCCUUGCCUACCUGUCACUCUUGACUGUCAGAUGCAGGUGAGGUAAAAUGAGUGAGGGUGGCCUAUUCCGUGUCUGCUAAUUAGAGGAGGAUCAGAUAAUACACCUGUAAUUUCUGAGAAAGCCUAGACCUUUGGGCUUUUUCACAGCAGACAUGGGUGUACCAGUGUGGGAUCCCAUACCAGCAGCUGUGUGUACCCAGCUAGACCUCAAACCAGCAGCUCCAGUCCAGCAGCAAACUGUGAGCACUCUUAAUGUGCCAGCAGUCUUAUGAGAUGUGUCUGAUGGUGAUUUAAAACACCUGAAAGGUUUGACACAAAAGUGGGCAAGAAAUUAUCCUGUGAUUCACCAACAGCAGAGUUGUAAGUGAGCUGCAGCACCUGGAGGAUUAAAAAAUGCUUUCAGGUUGAAGGAUUGAAACCACCUGAGGUUGGAGCCUUACUGCUCUUCAAUAGGCAAAUGAGAUGUUUCAUGAGGAAUUUCCUUUCUGUGACUAUGAAAUGAGUGCAUCUUCCAGCAGCAUCUUCUGCAGCAUCAGGUGUCUCUCUCCAGAGGAGGAACAAAGCAGGGAGCCAGAUGAAUUCACACAGUCCUGUGAAGAUGAGAAUUUUCUGGGACUUUGGAGCUGGCAUGGCUGAGAGAGCUGAAGGCAUCAGAUGAGUGUAUCAGAACACACAAAUACUUGAUAUCACUGCAUCAAGGUAAGCCAUGCAACUUUUGAUUCAUAACUUCGUUGGUCUCUUCUUGCAAAUGAAGACAAAAUAAAAGACACGGCCUUCUCAAACCGUUGCAAGGUAUUUUUAAAUCAGGGCGAAUUAGAGUUCUGAAUUCCAUCAUUCCCAACAGAGUUCAUAACAGGCCUCCUCCAAAGAUGCACAUCUCAGUAGUGUCUUGAUGCACUGAUAACUGAUAAUGAACACCUCCUGGCUUUUGGGAUUCACCAAUGUCCUUUACAAGCCCUUCAAUGUUUCUUUAUCUUCUCAUUAUACAGGCCAUUCCUCUCUCCUGAGAGCAGGUAAAGGGGGUUACAUUAUGCUGCUUUUGUCAAACGCAUGACAGAGAGUAUGAGAAAAUGUCAGUCAUUUUGGUUCUGUCUUUGGGGCCCUGAGGAAGUUCUGUCUCUCAAGAAAUUUCCUGUUUUGUUAACUCAGAUGUAUUUGGCAAACUUAGAGCUUGAUACUCUGUAGCGCAGUGGAAAAUGAAAUUACCUUUUAUUCUCUUGAAGCCACUUUUGAAGGGAUAUUUUGCAUGGCAUGACUUUACCAGUUCGGAUAAUCCACUUUACCAGUAUUCCUGUCCCUGGUACUUGGCCCUGGAUAAGUCAUACUAGAUGUCCUUGGGAAGGUGGGUGUCCCAGGGCUAUGCUGUAUCCCUGGGGCAGUUCUGGGGAAGCCCAUUUGGUCCCUCUGCUCCCUGUCCCCCUUCACCAGUGCAGCUAAACCAGCAGCUCGAGGCUUAGCCCUGACAGAACUCCUGGUCCCAGCCCAGUGCUCUCAACCCCUGGCCUGGCACAGGGAAUCUCAGACAGACUUUGUCUCUUCACAUCUGGGAGACCAGGGAGUCUCCCAGCCCUAGCUUUCCUCCACCACAGUGCCUUCUCCUUUGAGGAGCAGCUGCAUGGAUCUUCAGUGGCUGUGAAGGCAUGGCAGAAACUCCCAGGAGAAUUAAGUUCUCCUUUUUGAUGGCAUUCCUAAUCUGGCCAAGUAGCUCACUGCUCUGGAAAGGACAGCUGUCUCCUGCCCCUUCCCCUUGGGCUUUUCUGCUUUUCUGCUUUUCUGCUGCUUUUCUGCCAGCUCCUUUGCAUUGAUUGAUCCAUGAUGCAACCACUCAUGGGAUGGAGUGAUAGCAAACACACCCCCAUGCCCCUGGAAAGAUUAAUUUUCCAGUUGUGUUAUCCCUGUGCAACUGCACAGUCUCUGGGCUCAGUGCAAGGCGAUGGAAGACACAAGGGAGAGAGUGGGACUCUAAAACAGCCCACAGAGGGCUGCUGAUCCUACUGAACACCAGCUGGACAUUUGCUCUCCUCUGAUUUAUGCACUUGGGAAGGUCCUCACCUGGAGCCAGCUUUCCCCAAGGUCAUCUCAGAUAGGGAGGAGCAUCCCAGGGGAGUCUUGUUAGCUGAUCUAGGAGCUGCUCUUCCCUGUUGGGGCUGGGAGCAGGGAGAAACCAACACAGUCCCUCUGCAGUGCAAGGGGAGCACUCACAGCUACAGGAUCUCCCACAGAAAUGCUGCUCUCUGCCUAGACAUCACUCCUGUUCCCAUCCCCAGGAGCACAGGCUGGUUAAGGCGCAUCUACUGACAGUACAGUAUUGCUACGUCAGUGUGACAAGUACAGAGCUCUUGUGUACUAAAUAUUAGUACUACAUAUGGAUUUGACCAAUCUGGGUGGGUUAGGAGUCAUAGAAUUGCAAAAGAAGUCACUGGAAUGUCCCUUGUCACUGGAUGGCAUCCAAAGGGCUUAAACGAGAGGCAGAAGAAGGUAAGAGAAGGAAAAACAGCCUCCAGUGGAGGAGGUGAGAGUUCAGGUGGCAGUGACGGGAUAGGUUUUCCCUUAGGGAAAAGCAGUUCAGGAUAUUUCCUUCCUGCUGGCACCUGUCCUGCAGUGCCUCAGCACUUCUCUCCAGCCAGGCUGGAAACCCAACCACUGAAUUACCUGCAUGACAAGAAAACAAAACCCUACAAACCUGCAAUGCCACAGGCACUGCUGCACAGCAGCAGAGUCCUUGGAGUGCUGACAAACAUCCUGGGCCACUAACAUCUCAUGGACAGGCAUCCAUGGCCACUAACAUCUCAUGGACAGGCAUCCAUGGCCACUAACAUCUCAUGCCACCAUGUCCCUGGGUCCAGAGCCUGGGCUUAGGGCAGUUGCUUGGAGCAUCAGCUGGUUGUGUGUUUGAUCCCUGUACAGGCCACUCACUAAACAGCUGGACUUGAUGAUCCUUGUGGGUCCCUUCCAACUCUGUUCUGUGAGUUAUCUGGUGCCAGAUCCUUCAGAGCCUUCCUGCUGAGUUUGGUGAACCCAAAGCUCCUCUUGCGUGCAAAGAAUUUGCAGGAUCUAGCACGCAGUUUGAACUCAGGUGCUGGAUGAGGGAUCAACAUUAUUAAAUUUUGGCCUAUAACUCUAUGAAAGCUCUUAAAAAAUAUCUUUCACCUGCAGGGCACUGAUGCUUCAGUCCCUUGAUGCUGAGGCCUGCCUGUUUUGGGAUGUCAGGGACCUGUGCUCCCCCAGGCACACACCUGGGGACAGCAGCAGCCACUGCAAUUGGUAGGAGAAAAUCUUGGUUUGAGCCUCCAGUUCCCACCCCUACUAUACAAUUUAAUGUUUUGUUCUGACUUAAGACAUUAUUGCAUAAAUGCUCUACCUCUGCCCUAAGGGGGUGUUUUAGAGUGUUUUGAUUCCUUUAUGUUGUUUUCUUUUCAUUCUGUAUGUCAAACUGAGCAGCUGAGAGCCUAAUGCAGAUGCUAGGAAGAUGGAAAGGUCCCAGCAUCACCAUGACACAACUCUCCCUGCAGCAGAAAGUGGCUGAGAAGGUGAAUUUUGUGUGGAGAGAAGCAGGAAUAUUCUGUAUUUUCAGCAAGAAAUCUCAAGCAAGACUGCAAUGACAAGGGCCUGAGGCAUACAGCAAAAACAUCAGUGGUAGAUCUCAAUGAAAACAGGCAUCAGCCCCAUGCUUUACUUGGGGAAUCAUUUUCCAGCCCCACUCAGAGUAAAUUUUCCCCUUUUCUCUACCCCUCAACAAAUAUGCUAACCCUAUUCCCGGCCUCCAAGUAACCAACUCAGCCUCUCAACAAUAAAAGACUCUCUAUGCCUGACUAUUUUUGCCACCCUCAGGAUGCUGUGGCAGUCCCUGUCCAUCCCCACACCAAAGAUAGCUCUGAGCUUUUUCCUUCUCUCCCUCAGCCCUAACCACUGACUUCUCAAUCCUGGCCAGUGACUGACUCCUAAGACAGAGUCCCCACUGCCCAGAUACUCAGUAUUCCUCAGAGAUGGAUUCUGCUAUUAGCUUUCAGUUUCCUUGGGCAGUUUCUUUCAGCCCCACUACACAUGUCCAGUGGGCUGGAGGUUUCAGCUUUUCCUUUCCAUCAGCCCUCACCCUAGCCUGACACUCAGCAGAAGGUGCUGCUUGCAGCUUCCAUUCUCUUUCAGUGUGCUCCUCCUAGCCCCUAUCUCACCAUAGCCAUGGGCUUUCUCUUCUCCUGUCCUUUAGGGAGCAUCCCUGCAUUCCUGGAGACAGAAUUCCAGGUGUGGCCUCACCAGUGCUAAGCAAAGAAGGGCCAUGUCCCUUCACUCAAUGGAAACUCUUCCUAACACAGCUCCCUACUGUUAGUUGAAGUUUCUGCCUUUCCUUUGGCAGAUCCUUUCCAGCCCUUUUCCAGCUGUAACUCUGCAGAGAUGGGAUUUAUUCAGCCUCAAUCAGAAAAGGCAGAAGGAGAACUUCAUUGCUGUUUGCAGCUGUCCAAUGAGAGGGUGUAGAGAAGAUGGAGCCAGGCUCUUCCCAGAGGCACAAAGUGACAGGACAAGAGGCCACAAGAUGCCAUCUGGGACUUGGAAAACUCCAGAUAGAUCUUAAGGGAGCAAGCAUCACAACAAGGUUGGUUAAACACUGGAAGACAUGUCCAGGGAACCAUCAGGCUCUCCGUCCUCAAAGAUGCUAAAAAUUCAGCUUGCUGAAGCUCUGAGUAGCCUGACCUGGUUUUAAAGCUGUCUGAGCUUGAGCAGGGAGGUUGGGCCAGAGGCCAACCAGAGAUCCCUUUCUACCUGAGUUACUGUCCAAUCCUGCUCCUGUGAAACUCAGCCUUUGUAAAUUCGGAGCCUAAUCUGAUAACCUUGAUGAGAGGAAGGUGUUAUGUCUUUAGAAGUAGAUUUAGACUUUGUAAAGCCUACUCUGCUUUGGGCAGCAGUUUCAUGGGACCAACACACAGCUUCCCAGCACCUAUGGACAGUAGGAAAUAAUUGUAGCUGACCAAAAAUUUCCUUCACAUUGAUUUUCAGGAUUAGGACAGAUGUCCAAAUUUAUGCCUUGCCUAUCCUGUGCAGUUUAAAGGAAAUUGGGAACUCGGGCCCUUUAGAAAGACUCUGGAGUGGUAAUGGCAAGGGGAAGGAAUUUAAUGCCUGGAGGUGAAAGUUGGGAAAGUCCCAAAUGACUCAGUUUCUGCUGCCCUUUUCACUGAGUGAAGAGCAAAAGCCCUUCCUGUGUUCACCUCCUCUUCUCUCACCCAUAAACGAAUUAAAAUCUCCUCAAUAUUGCCCAUUUUGACUGGAAGCAUUGGAUAGCUGCUUCCUCAAAUUUUUCUGCCUGCAAUAGACUUGACAUUGUCACUGACAUUUUAUCCCUUUUACAAAGUGGCUCCAGAGUGCCUCAGCAUCGGGAGUUUUUCCUCCUUUUCUCCCCUUUCUUUUCCUCUUCCCUGCCUAAAAAGCUGUUGGAAAGCAAAGGAGGGAUUAAAAGGAGAGAUCCUCACUGUGGCAGCAGGGAGGGGCUGCUGCCCCUGGCUCAGUGCAGUGUUAGAUUAGGGCAGACUCACUCUGGCAUCGUGGUGAGCUCCAACAGCUCACUCAGAUAUUUCCCCAGAGAGGAAAGCCUUUGCUUUCCCUCUGAAUCCAUCCAUCACCAGGCAGAGCACACUCAUCAAAAGUGUGGAAUCUGGCAUAGCUGCAGGAUCAUUAUAAGGGUUUAAAAGAGAACAUUUCACCACCCUAUAUAUCUUGUCAGACAACACCUGACAGGUCAGCUGGGGAAGGGACUGCACUUCCCAGCUGAAGCACUGGCUUGAGAAAGUGUCAUCUACAGGCACAGGUCAGCUCAAUCCAAUCCCCCUGAGCUGGGAAACCCAGAAACCCAGAGCUAACAUAGCAUUUACAGCAUCUGCCCAAGUUUCUGUGGUUUAUGUCUCUGUCAUAACAGUGGUGACCCUGUUAUAUGUGCAUGUGACUUUGUCCAGUCCUUAUCUCAAUCCACUCAUCCUGCUGGUGCUAAAGGCAAUGAGAUCCACAGUGCGGUGAAGCUUAUCCCAUGAAAAUAGAUAUUUAUGAAUAAUAAAAAUUAAAACUGUUCAGAAACUUUGAAGAUACUGAAAUUGAGAUGUUUAGUUAAGGCAAGGAAAAUUCUGUAUACUCCCAUUUCGUUUUUGCCAAAAAAAGAAAAACAAAAAGAAAAACAAAACCACAAAUGUUAGAAAAUCAGGAAUAUCUCCUUUUCAGCAAUAAAGCCCUAGAGAGUUAAUGUUAUCAAGCAAACUGGAAGUAAAACCAAAUUCCACAUUACUUACAAUGCACUGUUUCUAUCAAUACACAGCUGAGAUUAAUUCAGGUGUGCCUGGUUUCAGUGUAGCCUGUACUUUGUUCUGCUGUCAAUGCUUUCUCAAAGUAGCAGGCCAAAGUUAAAAAUCAGAUUGCAGGCUGUUUGAGUUGUCUGUUGAAGCUAAUUCAUCACAGUAAAAAAAUGGUUAUGAAGUAUUAGCAGCUACUGCAGCUUCCCUCACUUUCUCUUUCUUUCUUUUAUUGCCUGCAUAAAGAAGACCAAUUGCUGUCAAUAGCCAAAAAAACCCAAAAAACACAACUUGUUUUCUAUGACAUUAAACAAAUUCUCUCACUACCACAGCAUAUAAAUGCCUUGAAGGUGAGAGAGAGUGAAAAAGAAGAAGAAGAAGAAGAAGAAAGAAAAAAAAACCUAAGAAGGAAAGCAACCUCUAGGGAAGGUUCUACAGGGAAAGUGAAACCAGUAACAGAAAAGAGGGGAUGAGAGAUGGUGAGAAAGGCUGUUCCUGAGUCGGUGUCCCAGCCCCAGCACCCAUGCACUCACCUGGACCCCUGCCCACACCACGGGUGGCACCACAGCUUCCUUCAGCCAUGCGUGGUGUCACUCUCCUUUGCCUCCAGAACAACAGAGGGCCCUGGUAUUGCGCUGUUUUCUCACUAAUUUCAUUUCCAACAGCACCAAGAAAACUCAUACCCAGGGAUGUGGUGGAGCCAAAGACAUCAAAACUAUUCUCUCUUAAGCUUUCAGAGUAGAGGCUGGAAGCAGGUAAUAGAGAAGCAUCCUCUUUAUUCCCCAUGUCUUUAAAUGUAAGAAGGAAUGGUCUUGCUGAGGAUUUUGUCAUAGGGUACAUGAUGGAGAGGGGGAGAGAGGAGGGCGUAGGAGUUUUGAAAGUAGCAAGGGAGAAAUAUGCAAAGAUUUUUGGAGCUUCCUGUCCAAAACUGGUUUAAACUUCUAUUUCAUCACUUUGAAAAUCAGCAGUGUUGGGCUUGAUGCAUCCUCUGGAAGCAAUUGUCAUUGGGACAUCCCCUGGAAUGCAGACAACAAGCACAGUGGGACUGCAGCACUCUAUGCAUUUAUAGACAAGGGCCUAGCAUGGCAUGGUGCCACAGAAACUAAUUAUACCCAGUGUUCAUGAAGUGAUGAGAAGAGGUAGAAGUAUAAUUAUCAGUUUUCCAGCAUGGCUGCUGUAUGCAGUAAGUAUGGCAGAGUUGACAUCUUAGUGGAGGCAAAUGAGUAAAAUAUCUUUUUAUUUCACCAGUACAAUUUUUUAACUUUUACUACUGUUUGAAAUCCUGAUGUUCUCAGCAGAAGUGAUGGCCUGGAAAAUUUUUCUUCUGCCUGAUUUUUUCCCUAAUCAUCUGUGGACAAUUAAUUGCCACCUAUUAGCAUCCCAGCCCUUGUUAAAAUAGGCCUCCUUUUUUUUUUGUUUUUUUUUUCUAACCAGAGUUAUAAGAAAAGAUCAUUUCAGCAUAGUGUGGUGGACUUGUCAUAAACAUUUAAGAUGUGCCAAAGUGUCAUAUUUUCUAGGCAGUAUAAUAGCAUUCCAUUUAUUGUUUCCCAAGGACUAAACAUGGAAAUGAAUGGCUUUAUGAAGAAGGUAGUCUUCUAGUGAAAUUGCUUGAUUCCAUUCUUCCACCAUCAGGCUCCUCAGCAAAAUAAUUUCCCUUUAAUUAAGCUAUAUGAUGUAAAUAUCAUGGCAAUUGAUUUAAUAAAAAUAUAUGAUGCAAAAUAACAUGAGGAAAAACACCUUAAAGAAAAGCAGAAGGAUUCCCUGAGCAGAGCAGGUAAUGGGAAAACUACUGGAAAUGAGGUAAGAAAAACAAUAAAAGGGAAGCUUUUAUAGAUUUUUUUCACCAUUUCUCUUUUUGUAACAGUUGGAUGGAUGUAUCCCUUGCUACCUUCCUCAUUUUCUACUGUAAAAGAUGUCUGAGAAGCUGUAAUUUUUUCUCUCUUCUACCCAAUUAUUAAUCUAUUUUUUAAAUUAAUAAUACAACCAGUUCUGAUGUUAAUGUGUUCUGGAGUAAGUACACAUACUUUUCUGACCUACUUUUUAAUCUAUGUAUUUGCCUUUCAAGUGAGAGAGGUUUUCUGUCUCUUGUCCAAACCCUCGUGCUAAUACCCUUGUGCCCUGUUGCACAAGUGCUACUGCUAAUGUUUAUGUUCUGGAAAACCAGUGGGACAAUGUAAAGGCAAAAUAUCCUCUGCCUGCACUCACUUCAAAUCCUGUUUGUUUACAGUGUGGAGGUGGCAAGGACAUCCAGCUGUGAACAUUCAUAACACAGUAUGGUGCAAUAUUUUGGGACAUCCUUAGGAAAAUGUAUCUCUCUGUAGCCCAUCUUUUCUCUCUGUCCUGGCCUCCCCAGGAGCCAUGGAAAGGCAGCUUCCUGGCUGUCAUUUACCGUCAUCCAUCCCUUUAUGGUGCAGAUGAUCCCCAGAAGUUACUGCUGCAGAAAGCAGGAUUUCCAUCCGUGCUAUCUCUGCCCAGGGAUGUUGACGGGAGGAAAGCUGUUAAGUGGUCCAUAUGGACCAGCUGGACAGAGGAUAUGGAGUCACAGCUAAAUGAUAAACUCUUGGAAAUUACUGAAAAGUUGCAAGAACAUGAGAAAGACUGCAAGGAGAGGGAAGGUACCCAGAGAGUGCUGUGAAAAUGUUGAGAGUAGCAAAGCUUGGGCAAACUUUGGCAGCCCAGAUCCAGAAAAACUUGAUUUUCACAUGGGUGCUUGACUCUUCUUGAGAGCACUGCUAGCUGGAUAAGAGCUCUUAUGGUUUCAAGGACUCAACAUGUGUCUGAGGUAGCAUCAGGCAGUCUGAUUUUAGUGUGAUUAGUUGCAGCUCUCAUGUCUGCAAAAUUAGCCCAACAGCCUCAUAAGAACAAUUGUUUUGGAAAGAGAUAGGAUUUUUUCCCAACUUUUCUUUAAGGCAAAAAAUCUUUGGAUGUCAUUCUGUGGAUAUUGCUUGUUUUGACCUCAGCCAGCAUCAGAAAAAAAUAAGCUCAAAUACAAAAUGUUUUCUUUUGGUUUUAGGAUUAAAUUAAGGGGUUUUUUUAGGACUCCUUUAGAAACAGAAAUACAUCUCAACUCAGGCUGGGGCCAGAGCUUCAGAUUCAGAUCUUAUUUUAGUUUAAUUUUCUUUACUGAACCAAACCAUCAGUCUUUCCUGGCAGGCAGUCUACCCCAACUAGAAUAUUUUCCAUAGUGAGUUCCAGAUAGCCAGCAUACUAAUGUCUGCCUUUAAAUAAAGAAGAAAUACCCUGAUGCAUUCAAUCAAAACAGCAAACAGUGAUUUCCAACCAGCCUUUUCCACAGAAGACUAAACCAAGGGGAGAAGCAAUCAUUGCUUUCUGAAAUCAGCCAUGUCAGCCCUUGACACAAAGGAGGUUGGUGAAGAAAGGUUAGCUCUGGUGUCACCGUGCCAUUAGGUCUGAACGCCUCUGAGAGAUCUCUAGUACAGCCUGCCAUUCACAGACCCCCAAGGAUUUCUUUUUUAAAUGAAAGGUUGCAAAAAUCUCAUUCCCUAUUCCAGCGCUGCACACACAACAUGUUCCCCUUCCCCCCAUCCGUCACAAGCAGCUAAUGGGAAUCAGGUCCUUAAUGGAGGACAAUGGCAAUUCUGCACAGGUGGGAAGGCAUAAAAUAUUUGCCAGCCAACCAGUCUUGAUUCAUGGCCAAUGAAAUAUUAAUACAUGACCUUCAUAAUUUUCCCUUUCCAUUAAAAACCUCAGGACACUGGAAAUAAAGUGUUUAAAAACACUUCUGCUUCCUGGUAAUCAGUGUUUCAAAGGUAAAUAAAAAUAUAUCUGUGCUCCUUGAAUUUGUGAUCAGAAAGCCUCCUCCAGAGUGAGUCCAGCCUUAUUUACCACUGUUCUUUUUAAAGGAUUUUGAAUGCAACUGAAUGUGAGAGAUACAUAACUGCAUAUCCAACCAACACUUGCCUCUGAAGAGGAAGAGAUAAAAGGUUCUUUCUUCAGCCACACCAUUCCUAGAUUUUUUACCCAACAGUAUUCAAGAAAGCUGUGUAUGGUCUAAAAGACUGGAGCUACCCAUAACACAAAGGUGGGUUGAAUGAAAAACUCAGCAAAUGUUCUGUCUUCUCCUGAAUGUUGCUGUAUGUCAAAGGGUGGAAAGAUAGCUGGUUUAGCAGGAAUGUUGAUUUAUUUUGUAGGGUGGGAAGAUAGCUCUUUUAACCAGGAAUGUAAGCCUUGUCUCUUUUGUAUGAAUGUAAGUUGUGUCUCUUCAACUGAUGCUCGCUAUCAAGAAUAUUUGUAUGCACAAAGCUACCUUAGUGCUCAAAGACAACUUCUCUUCACCACUGUCACCAAUACCACAGAUGACUGAACUGGUUUACAACCAGAAUAAAUCUUACCUCAUGCAUUCUUUUUCCAUGUGGAUGAAGGUAGCUAUCUAGAAGAAAAAGGAAAUACAGCUUGGGGGCUAGAAACACAAACCACAAAUGCCAGAGGUGCAUCACUAGUUGCACCACAAGCUUUGGUAAGUAACCUUAUUUCCUUGUCUAAACAGACCCCCAACUCCUCUGUAGCUGCUGGACUCAGAAUUGCUUAUUGCAUCAUGGCUUUGUGUCUGUGAUGUGUGGGGAAAUCCUGAAGCAGCUACAGUAAGCAGGAGAUUCUGACUCUUGGCUGGAAUUUUACCCCAAGCCAUCUUUACUUUUCCACUAAUGUGUAAUUGUUUCUUAAGAGUUAGAAGACACCUGUGCUCACCUGAGGAUAGCAUACAAAUGCUUGACUGUAGUAGUAGUAGUAGUCAUGCAGUGUUAGAGAUGAAGUGCUGUUAAGAGUUGAUAUUUGCUUCAUAUGUGUUAAGCCUGCAGAAGAGAAGACUUGAGGCAGAAAAUUACCACAAAAAUGGAGAUUUUUUUUUUCAGUGCACAGAAAUGCUUUGAGUUGCUUUAAUUUUAAAUCAAUUACAAUUAUAAAGUCAUAAUUUUAAUCACUUUCUUUUCCUUCUUUUUUUCCAGGAUAGUAAUAUUGUUACCCUCUUUUCUGAACCAGGUUAUCCUGCUAUUACAUAGACUGCCCUAUGGUUUUGUGUCACUGUGCAUCAAAACCAACCAUGGACCGGAAAAUAAAAUCAGAAGGGUGUGAAGGGAGGAAGUGCUGUAGGAAGAAAGAGGUCUAUAACAACACCUGACUAAGCAUCAAAUGUCAUCUCAGUCAUCAAUGCAAGGAGGAAGAUCUCUGGAGCUUCUUUUCCAAGCAGUUCAAAGUCCUUUCUUGCUGCUGUCUCUGCAAGGAGCACAGGACAGAUGUGUCACUGCUUGGGACAAUACAGCUUGUGCCUGCAGUGCUCAGGGCUGUGCCCUUGCCCUGGAGUGGUCAGGACACUCACUCCAAAGUCCUCUCACUAGGCAGCCCCAGUGACUGAGAGACAUAAAGAUCAGUGCUAUGUAUGGGGGUGGGGGUUAAUCCAAAGUGCUGUAAGUGCCAGAGGUGGCUGUGUCACAUACACCUCAGCGGUGCCUGUGUGAUGGGCAUGAGAUUGGUCCCCCAGGACAAGGCAGGAGGCUUCAGGGCCUGCUGAGGACACUGCUUGGCUUGUCCUGGGAGAGAAGAGCUGAAUAUGAUGACAUCUGUGGCCACAAGUCUGUGUGUGCUGUUCCCCCAUCACUCAUGCUCAGAUUUCCUCUGGGAGGGAGAUGAUUGAUUUACUCCAGAAGGAAUGAACUACCACACAGGCACUGCAGAAAGCAAGGGAAAAAGCUGAGGAGAGAGUAAAGAUAAUCCCAGCUCAAAUCUUUAAUUUUAUCCUGGGUAGAAAUCCCCACAAUAAAACAGAGCAUUGGUCUCUACACUUACUCUGACUCUGGACACACAAACAGCUCUUAAAAAUAUAAAUUGUCUCCUCUGAUUGCAUGCCCAAGUGAUGGGUCCCUGCAGAAGGAGAGAGCCAAGCCUAAGGGCCCAGUCCAGUCAUGUCAACACCAGUGUUUAUUUCCUUCAUCUCACCAGAAGUGGGAACAGGCUUGUCUAUUGAUGCUUUAGGCCUUACACCUUUUCCUACUCUGAAAAGACAUGGAUCACUGCAGAAAUCUGCUGCAUUCUGCCUCUGGACUGUGGGGAAUGGGGUAAUAUGGGGCAAUAUGGGGAAUGGGGCCUGAUAUUUGCACACCCCGUCCCUGCAGCUAAGUCUGAUACCAGGGCACUAAUCUUUGCAGUAAAAGAGCAUGUAAAGGAGGAAGGGCCCUUGCCAACCUUUCUCUUCUCUGUAGCUGUAUCACUGCUGUAGCACUCAGCAGAAUGCUGGGUUCAUGAAGGUUUCCCAGACCUUCAAACCCUGAUCACCGCUGUAAGUCAGGAAACCAAUCUGUGUUGGAAAAGAGCUCAAAGAUAAUUUUCUCUUCUCAACACAAAUCCUCUCACUAUGUCUUUGGGCUUUGCAUAUUGCAAGAAGGAGUUGUGCCUCUGGUACUUUAUACUUUCCAAACUGUAACUAUAAUCCCAACACAAACCCUAAUGUUAUUUAUAUAGAGGAGAUAACCUCCCUCCCUAAAGGAGCACGUUAUUUUACCUCUGCUCACACCAGCUGUCCUUACAUUAUUGAAAGCCCUACAAUGAUGAAUUAAAGUAAAACUACAGGAUCCAAGCCCACCCUAUCCUCUAUUGGCCUGCCAAUAGCCAAGGUACCAUUCCCUGUGGGAAAAGAGAAACUAUGGCCUUGAUCACAGCACUACCAGGAUUUUUUUCUGGGAUUCUGUGUUGUCUAGAAUCAAAUUGGCCCUUUGAAAGUGUUGCUGGCCUCACCCUAAUUCCAAUCCCAAGUGGCAAGAGUACCACAAUAAAAAUGAAAAUAAGGAAUUGGUCCCUGAUUCCAUCUCUCUGCCUGAUUUUAGGGAUUCUGUAGUAUCCUAAAGGAAGUUGAGCAUUAGAAUGUUACCAUAUUGCCAUAAACACAAAUAUUAUUAACACAAUAUUACCAUAAACACAAAUCCCACCUCUGUCCUCCUUGUACCUCAAGAGGUAAUGACCUCAGUGAAGGAGAAUGUGACACCUACAAACAUCAUUCUUCUUCCUAAAGCUCUGGGUUCUGAUGGUCUCCACAGUAAGUUGGCCUCUUACGGCCAUUGUAGGCAUGCUCCUUGUGGAUGGCGCCAGGGAGUGAUCCUGGGGCAAGCGGGUAAUUCCUGAUCACUCAAAUCCAUCAGGCUCUAGAUUGACCCCAGAAUCCCUUCAUAGCAGCUGCAACAUUUAAAAAAAAAGAUGCUCAGACACGUGUGCAUGCAUAUGUACACAUUUGUGGUGUUUUUCCUGUUCAAAAUGAACAUAUUAAUGACAGAGCUUUUUUGUUUUUUCCAGCCUUCAGAGAAUUGGUUUGAGUUCUUUUUGUAAAAGAAAAAGAAAAUGUAUGCCACUCCCUAUCCCUAAAAAGAAAGGUUUAGAGAGCAAAAUCUGCUGAAUUAAGAGUUUAAGGAGUGUCUCUUUUGGAGGCAGCAAGAGAUUUUUCUUUCAGAGUGCCCUCUCUUCGCAGACCAGGAAGAUGCUGUUCCCUCGAGGUGCCUGAGUUUCCUCUUGGAUGUUCACUCCCAAAGGGAGCUAACAUGAAUCCAGGAUGUGUAAUCACUGCAGCUGGGUAAAAGAAGGAGUGACCCAAUUUGCCAGUACAGACACAUUAGGCAGCUUCUGCCUUAAUUACCUACUGGGUGUCUCAGGUUAGAUGAUGUGACAAUUUCCCAGUGAUAACAAUUAUCCUUCUGGACUGUGAUUCACUUUUUGGUGGGUUUGUCAAGGCCUCUUGGAUAAAAUAUGCAUGAGCACAUCUUGCCCAUCCUCCACAGCCAGGCCCUUAGCACAGGUUAGCAGGCAUCCUGGCACAGAUGGCAGCACUGGGAAUGUUUUCCAUCCCUGCUGCAGCAACGCAGAGGUGGAGAGCUCUCUUGCAAGAGCCCAUUAGGCUUAUUCUUGGUCCACUUUCUUGACCUGAUUUCAUCUAUAUUUUACUGGAAAAGUGUACAAAACAAGCACAGGGCUAAAGCACCACCUUUUAAAAAAUUGAGAGAUGCAGACAGACAAAAUCAUGAAUGCUGUGGGGUUUUUUUGUUUUUGAGUAUUUUUUGUUGUUGUUGUUUGUUUUGUUUUUUGGGUUUGUCGUUUUAGUUUUGGUGGGUUUUUUUGCUUUGUCUAAUUUCUGAAGCUGCCUUCAGCCACUUCUGUAAGAAAACUGUUAUUAGUUUUAGUAGUAUUACAGUAGCAAUCAGCUAAUGACUUUCAGGAAAUAGUUACAGAGAUACCCAUUUGUCUAUGUGUAUGUACACAUAUAUGCCAUUUAUAUAAAACAUUCUGUCCUCACCUGUAGCCAGUUAGUGUCAGAAGACUGUUUGGAUUGUUUGUAAACUCACUUGUACUUGGUGCUAGCAUUGAUUCCUUGGCUGAAUUAUUUUGCAAUAGGAUAAACCCCCUAAUUGUGCAUCUAAAUAAAAUUAAAUUUUAACGAC
Non-coding RNA from Zonotrichia albicollis (white-throated sparrow), 28074 nucleotides. Lineage: Eukaryota; Metazoa; Chordata; Aves; Passeriformes; Passerellidae. The record is from RefSeq and is a predicted model, not a curated record.